UACGGAGGGUGCAAGCGUUGUCCGGAUUUAUUGGGUUUAAAGGGUGCGUAGGCGGCCCGUUAAGUCAGCGGUGAAAUCCCGGGGCUCAACCCCGGAACUGCCGUUGAUACUGGCGGGCUUGAGUUCGGUCGAGGCGGGCGGAACUGGCGGUGUAGCGGUGAAAUGCUUAGAUACCGCCAAGAACCCCGAUUGCGUAGGAAGCUCGCUUGGCCGAAACUGACGCUGAGGCACGAAAGCGUGGGGAGCGAACAGG
RNAcentral lists this ribosomal RNA (253 nucleotides) under uncultured bacterium. Its description in RNAcentral is "partial 16S ribosomal RNA". It matches the Rfam family "Bacterial small subunit ribosomal RNA", at positions 524 to 776 of the family's 1533-position model. The record is from RNAcentral.